Molecule: transfer RNA, 72 nt
Filed under: Dallia pectoralis (Alaska blackfish)
Lineage: Eukaryota; Metazoa; Chordata; Actinopteri; Esociformes; Umbridae
Description: tRNA-OTHER
Rfam family: tRNA (bases 8-66)
About the family: Transfer RNA (tRNA) molecules are approximately 80 nucleotides in length. Their secondary structure includes four short double-helical elements and three loops (D, anti-codon, and T loops). Further hydrogen bonds mediate the characteristic L-shaped molecular structure. tRNAs have two regions of fundamental functional importance: the anti-codon, which is responsible for specific mRNA codon recognition, and the 3' end, to which the tRNAs corresponding amino acid is attached (by aminoacyl-tRNA synthetases). tRNAs cope with the degeneracy of the genetic code in two manners: having more than one tRNA (with a specific anti-codon) for a particular amino acid; and 'wobble' base-pairing, i.e. permitting non-standard base-pairing at the 3rd anti-codon position.
Source: RNAcentral
GGAGUUGGUAUCUCAGUGGUUGAGUGCAUGCUUUGUAUGUAUGACAUCCUGGGUUCAAACCCCAGCGUCCCA